UUUGCGGCACGCAACGAGUGUCUUUUCGGGCGUUUGUCUGUUCUGAGGUAGACGGGACGGAGAACACUCACUGCGGGAUUUCCCCUUAUUGCUGACUGUAAUGGAGAGAAACUGUCCUAUGGUGUGUGCAGCAGCUCUGAGACAUGAGGUGCCGGAGAGGAUUUCAGGCCAGCUGGGUUUCCUUACUGUCCUGACCUUCAGCACUGAUCCAACAUGAUGUUUCUGCUGUAGCAGAGGUUGGCAUCCUUAUCACAAGCUCCAGCAACAUAGGUUUCCUCCUUAGCAGAGAUGGCCUCCUUAUCUCCAACUCCAGCAGAGAUUUAAUGAUGAAUCCUGAGCUAUCCUGGAGAAACAAAAGGAGUGUCUACAGCCUUUCAUUAAGUGGCAGAUGGAUGGCAGCCCUUAGUGACGGCUCAGAGCACAGCUGUCAGCACUUGGGUCUGCAGUCACACUCUGGAUUAAAAUGCAUCACACUGCUACUUUUUACAAAACUUGUUGAAAGUGACUUAAUUGUCUGUAUACCUGUCUUUGUCAUAUGCUGUGUUCACUGUGGCAGCACAUUUCCUUGUAAAUGGACAAUAAAUCUAUCUGAAUCAGA
Acanthopagrus latus (yellowfin seabream) is the source of this 598-nucleotide long non-coding RNA. RefSeq lists it as uncharacterized. NCBI's taxonomy places the organism in Eukaryota, Metazoa, Chordata, Actinopteri, Spariformes, Sparidae. The record is from RefSeq and is a predicted model, not a curated record. The transcript has 8 exons.